AAAUUGAAGAGUUUGAUCAUGGCUCAGAUUGAACGCUGGCGGCAGGCCUAACACAUGCAAGUCGAGCGGCAGCGGGAAAGUAGCUUGCUACUUUUGCCGGCGAGCGGCGGACGGGUGAGUAAUGCCUGGGGAUCUGCCCAGUCGAGGGGGAUAACUACUGGAAACGGUGGCUAAUACCGCAUACGCCCUACGGGGGAAAGCAGGGGACCUUCGGGCCUUGCGCGAUUGGAUGAACCCAGGUGGGAUUAGCUAGUUGGUGAGGUAAUGGCUCACCAAGGCGACGAUCCCUAGCUGGUCUGAGAGGAUGAUCAGCCACACUGGAACUGAGACACGGUCCAGACUCCUACGGGAGGCAGCAGUGGGGAAUAUUGCACAAUGGGGGAAACCCUGAUG
RNAcentral lists this ribosomal RNA (393 nucleotides) under Aeromonas veronii. RNAcentral's name for it is "bacterial SSU rRNA". It matches the Rfam family "Bacterial small subunit ribosomal RNA", at positions 1 to 388 of the family's 1533-position model. Lineage: Bacteria; Pseudomonadati; Pseudomonadota; Gammaproteobacteria; Aeromonadales; Aeromonadaceae. The record is from RNAcentral.